UAGAAUCAGUUUGAUGACCAUGGGGCUGC
RNAcentral lists this non-coding RNA (29 nucleotides) under Rattus norvegicus (Norway rat). The record is from RNAcentral. Lineage: Eukaryota; Metazoa; Chordata; Mammalia; Rodentia; Muridae.